RNAcentral lists this transfer RNA (75 nucleotides) under Mycobacterium intracellulare. Its description in RNAcentral is "tRNA-Asp". It matches the Rfam family "tRNA". Rfam says of the family: Transfer RNA (tRNA) molecules are approximately 80 nucleotides in length. Their secondary structure includes four short double-helical elements and three loops (D, anti-codon, and T loops). Further hydrogen bonds mediate the characteristic L-shaped molecular structure. tRNAs have two regions of fundamental functional importance: the anti-codon, which is responsible for specific mRNA codon recognition, and the 3' end, to which the tRNAs corresponding amino acid is attached (by aminoacyl-tRNA synthetases). tRNAs cope with the degeneracy of the genetic code in two manners: having more than one tRNA (with a specific anti-codon) for a particular amino acid; and 'wobble' base-pairing, i.e. permitting non-standard base-pairing at the 3rd anti-codon position. Lineage: Bacteria; Bacillati; Actinomycetota; Actinomycetes; Mycobacteriales; Mycobacteriaceae. The record is from RNAcentral.
GCCGGUGUAGAUCAGUCUGGUUAGAUCGCCGCCCUGUCAAGGCGGAGGCCGCGGGUUCAAGUCCCGUCGCUGGCG